Molecule: ribosomal RNA, 285 nt
Filed under: uncultured archaeon SYA_2000_31
Lineage: Archaea
Description: partial 16S ribosomal RNA
Rfam family: Archaeal small subunit ribosomal RNA
Source: RNAcentral
GUAGCCGGCCUUACAAGUCCUCCGUUAAAUUCAGCUGCUUAACAGAUGGGCUGCGGAGGAUACUAUAAGACUAGGAGGCAGGAGAGGCCUGCGGUACUCAGUGGGUAGGGGUAAAAUCCGUUGAUCCAUUGAAGACCACCAGUGGCGAAGGCGGCUUGCCAGAAUGCGCUCGACGGUGAGGGAUGAAAGCUGGGGGAGCAAACCGGAUUAGAUACCCGGGUAGUCCCAGCUGUAAACGAUGCACUACUCGGUGAUGGACUAGCUAUAUGCUGGUCCAGUGCCGCA